GCCAGGCGCCAUGGCGUGUGCCUGUAGUCCCAGCUACUCGGGAGGAUGAGAUGGGAGGAUCGCUUGAGCCCAGGAGUUCUGGGCUGUAGUGCGUUAUGCUGAUGGGGUGUCUGCACUAAGUUCGGCAUCAAUAUGGUGACCUCCCAGGAGUGGGGACCACCAGGUUGCCUAAGGAGGGGUGAACUGGCCCAGUUCGGAAACGGAGCAGGUCAAAACUCCCGUGCUGAUCAGUAGUGGGAUCGUGCCAGUGAAUAGCCACUGCACUCCAGCCUGGGCAACAUAGCAAGACUCCAUCUCUU
This is an unclassified non-coding RNA of Callithrix jacchus (white-tufted-ear marmoset), 299 nucleotides long. It matches the Rfam family "Metazoan signal recognition particle RNA". From Rfam's summary of the family: The signal recognition particle (SRP) is a universally conserved ribonucleoprotein. It is involved in the co-translational targeting of proteins to membranes. The eukaryotic SRP consists of a 300-nucleotide 7S RNA and six proteins: SRPs 72, 68, 54, 19, 14, and 9. NCBI's taxonomy places the organism in Eukaryota, Metazoa, Chordata, Mammalia, Primates, Cebidae. The record is from Ensembl.